Molecule: ribosomal RNA, 83 nt
Filed under: Streptomyces variegatus
Lineage: Bacteria; Bacillati; Actinomycetota; Actinomycetes; Kitasatosporales; Streptomycetaceae
Source: RNAcentral
UUCGGUGGUUAUAGCGUAGGGGAAACGCCCGGUUACAUUCCGAACCCGGAAGCUAAGCCUUACAGCGCCGAUGGUACUGCAGG